CCAGGCUGGAUGACGACACCUCCCUGCACUGGAAGGAAGCACGGGAGGUACAGAGCAUUCCCACCUGAAACUGACUGUGUAUGUUUGGGGACUUGGGACCCCCACAACCCCUGGACGGAUCCAGAGGAGGACCAACACUUUUGACUGCAACCAUCACUUCAACAGGAUGGCAGUCACCACUUGAUAGGACUGCGACCACCACCUUGGCCAACAGGAUGCCAGGUCUUCAGGAGCCUUGCUUUGUCAGAUGUACUGGAUACCCCUCCAUGUGAAAACCAACCGUAACCUGCAAUCUGCUGUCAAAGGGAUCAAGAAAAAUGGAUUAGUGAUAUCAGUGGCUUCAUACCAUUUGACUGCCUUUGACCCCAGUUCCCAUUGGAGUUCUAAUACAUUUGAUAGGGCACUGUGGCACUUUGGCAUCAUUCAAGACAUGGCAGUCCGCUGUUAGCCUCCACUUUCUGUUACAUUUUUG
Catharus ustulatus (Swainson's thrush) is the source of this 472-nucleotide long non-coding RNA. RefSeq lists it as uncharacterized. The transcript is spliced from 3 exons. The record is from RefSeq and is a predicted model, not a curated record. Lineage: Eukaryota; Metazoa; Chordata; Aves; Passeriformes; Turdidae.